UGGGGAAUAUUGGACAAUGGACCAAAAGUCUGAUCCAGCAAUUCUGUGUGCACGAUGACGUUUUUCGGAAUGUAAAGUGCUUUCAGUUGGGAAGAAGAAAGUGACGGUACCAACAGAAGAAGCGACGGCUAAAUACGUGCCAGCAGCCGCGGUAAUACGUAUGUCGCAAGCGUUAUCCGGAUUUAUUGGGCGUAAAGCGCGUCUAGGCGGCAAGGUAAGUCUGAUGUGAAAAUGCGGGGCUCAACUCCGUAUUGCGUUGGAAACUGCCUUACUAGAGUACUGGAGAGGUAGGCGGAACUACAAGUGUAGAGGUGAAAUUCGUAGAUAUUUGUAGGAAUGCCGAUGGGGAAGCCAGCCUACUGGACAGAUACUGACGCUAAAGCGCGAAAGCGUGGGUAGCAAACAG
This 406-nucleotide ribosomal RNA is filed under the name uncultured bacterium. RNAcentral describes it as "bacterial SSU rRNA". It matches the Rfam family "Bacterial small subunit ribosomal RNA", at positions 355 to 775 of the family's 1533-position model. The record is from RNAcentral.